RNAcentral lists this ribosomal RNA (45 nucleotides) under Phialocephala sp. YJM-2013. Its description in RNAcentral is "partial 18S ribosomal RNA". The record is from RNAcentral. Lineage: Eukaryota; Fungi; Ascomycota; Leotiomycetes; Helotiales; Mollisiaceae.
AGUAAAGGGUUUUUCCGUAGGGUGAACCUGGCGGAAGGAUCAUUA